Molecule: ribosomal RNA, 172 nt
Filed under: uncultured fungus
Lineage: Eukaryota; Fungi
Description: partial 28S ribosomal RNA
Rfam family: Eukaryotic large subunit ribosomal RNA
Source: RNAcentral
UUGACCUCAAAUCAGGUAGGACUACCCGCUGAACUUAAGCAUAUCAAUAAGCGGAGGAAAAGAAACUAACAAGGAUUCCCCUAGUAACUGCGAGUGAAGCGGGAAAAGCUCAAAUUUAAAAUCUGGCGGUCUCCGGCCGUCCGAGUUGUAAUCUAGAGAAGUGUUAUCCGCG